Molecule: ribosomal RNA, 383 nt
Filed under: uncultured eukaryote
Lineage: Eukaryota
Description: SSU rRNA
Rfam family: Eukaryotic small subunit ribosomal RNA
Source: RNAcentral
AGCUCUAAUAGCGUAUAUUAAAGUUCUUGCAGUUAAAAAGCUCGUAGUUGAACUUCUGACUGGGCGGGAGGGUCCGCUCUUACAAGUGUGCACCAUACAUACAUGGCCAUCUUUUGGGAGAGCCGCACUGUCACUAAGUUUUCAGUGUGGGGAUCCUAAUCCUUUACUGUGAAGAAAUCAGAGUGUUCAAAGCAGGCUUACACCGUUGAAUAUAUUAGCAUGGAAUAAUAACAUAGGACUAUUGUACUAUUUUUGUUGGUUUUUGCACAAUAGUAAUGAUUAACAGGAACAGUUGGGGGUAUUUGUAUUCCAUUGUCAGAGGUGAACUUCUUGGAUUUUUGGAAGACAAACUACUGCAAAAGUAUUUACCAAAGAUGUUUUCA